CCGGUGAGCACGCCGCCGCCUGCAACCCCUCGGCCGGCCGUUCCUCCUGCAGCUUCUCCACCGCCGCCUGCAACCCCUCCGCCGGCCGAACCUGCUCCAGCUUCUCCGCCGCCGACUGCAACCCGCAACCCCUCCGCCGGCCGAACCUCGUCCAGCUUCUCCGCCUCCGCCUGUGCUUUCCCCGCUCCCACCGGUUGCACCUACGCCGGCUCCGGUUGCUUCCUCCGUCGUAGAAAUCAGGUCCGUUUCACAAUUUACUCUUUUCCGCAUUUAAAUCUCAUAAUUCGAGAUAUAAAUGUAAGGCAAUUUUAGAUCUGUAGGGAUUUUCAUAAGACUUGAACCCACUGAAAAGCAGGACGCCAUUUCUUCCCGUUGAUUUCUCGCUCCCUGCUGCCUGCUUCGAUCUUGUUAUCCUUAUUCAGGUGUUUCCGCUGCCUAAUCUUCAAUUUGUCUUUGUAAGUUCAAGAAGAAGAACGUCAAAAGUUAAGCUGUAAAUACUGAAAAUGUCCAAAAUUUAGUGGAUAAUCCAGCAG
RNAcentral lists this long non-coding RNA (533 nucleotides) under Salvia miltiorrhiza (redroot sage). Its description in RNAcentral is "long non-coding RNA (SMIL_LNC005749)". Lineage: Eukaryota; Viridiplantae; Streptophyta; Magnoliopsida; Lamiales; Lamiaceae. The record is from RNAcentral.